AUUGCUAUAAAUUCUUAAAGAGUUCCCUCGACUAUCUUUCGUCUCCAUCAUCAGACUUUAAUGGCACUUGUAACUUAUAUAGGUGCAAAGUUCUCAUCAAUAGAAACGAAUUAAGUUCAAACAGCAGGUAAUUGCUAUAAGUCGUUGAAGAGUACCCUCGACUAUCUUUCGUCUCCAUCAUCAGACUGAAAUGGCACUUAUAACUCAUAUAUAUGCAAAGUUCUCAUCAAUAGAAACGAAUUAAGUUCAAACAGCAGGUAAUUGCUAUAAGUCGUUGAAGAGUACCCUCGACUAUUUUUCGUCUCCAUCAUCAGACUGAAAUGGCAUUUAUAACUUAUAUAUAUGCAAAGUUCUCAUCAAUAGAAACGAAUUAAGUUCAAAGAGCAGGUAAUUGCUAUAAAUCGUUAAAGAGUUCCCUCGACUAACUUUUGUCUCCAUCAUCAGACUAUAAUGGCACUUAUAACUCAUACAG
Molecule: unclassified non-coding RNA, 472 nt
Filed under: Melitaea cinxia (Glanville fritillary)
Lineage: Eukaryota; Metazoa; Arthropoda; Insecta; Lepidoptera; Nymphalidae
Description: misc RNA ENSMCXG00005007719.1
Source: RNAcentral